CAGGCUUAACACAUGCAAGUCGAGGGGCAGCAUUUUAGUUUGCUUGCAAACUAAAGAUGGCGACCGGCGCACGGGUGAGUAACACGUAUCCAACCUGCCGAUAACUCGGGGAUAGCCUUUCGAAAGAAAGAUUAAUAUCCGAUAGUAUAUUAAAACCGCAUGGUUUUACUAUUAAAGAAUUUCGGUUAUCGAUGGGGAUGCGUUCCAUUAGUUUGUUGGCGGGGUAACGGCCCACCAAGACUACGAUGGAUAGGGGUUCUGAGAGGAAGGUCCCCCACAUUGGAACUGAGACACGGUCCAAACUCCUACGGGAGGCAGCAGUGAGGAAUAUUGGUCAAUGGACGAGAGUCUGAACCAGCCAAGUAGCGUGAAGGAUGACUGCCCUAUGGGUUGUAAACUUCUUUUAUAUGGGAAUAAAGUAUUCCACGUGUGGGAUUUUGUAUGUACCAUAUGAAUAAGGAUCGGCUAACUCCGUGCCAGCAGCCGCGGUAAUACGGAGGAUCCGAGCGUUAUCCGGAUUUAUUGGGUUUAAAGGGAGCGUAGGUGGAUUGUUAAGUCAGUUGUGAAAGUUUGCGGCUCAACCGUAAAAUUGCAGUUGAAACUGGCAGUCUUGAGUACAGUAGAGGUGGGCGGAAUUCGUGGUGUAGCGGUGAAAUGCUUAGAUAUCACGAAGAACUCCGAUUGCGAAGGCAGCUCACUAGACUGCAACUGACACUGAUGCUCGAAAGUGUGGGUAUCAAACAGGAUUAGAUACCCUGGUAGUCCACACAGUAAACGAUGAAUACUCGCUGUUUGCGAUAUACAGUAAGCGGCCAAGCGAAAGCAUUAAGUAUUCCACCUGGGGAGUACGCCGGCAACGGUGAAACUCAAAGGAAUUGACGGGGGCCCGCACAAGCGGAGGAACAUGUGGUUUAAUUCGAUGAUACGCGAGGAACCUUACCCGGGCUUAAAUUGCAUUUGAAUAAUCUGGAAACAGGUUAGCCGCAAGGCAAAUGUGAAGGUGCUGCAUGGUUGUCGUCAGCUCGUGCCGUGAGGUGUCGGCUUAAGUGCCAUAACGAGCGCAACCCUUAUCUUUAGUUACUAACAGGUUAUGCUGAGGACUCUAGAGAGACUGCCGUCGUAAGAUGUGAGGAAGGUGGGGAUGACGUCAAAUCAGCACGGCCCUUACGUCCGGGGCUACACACGUGUUACAAUGGGGGGUACAGAAGGCAGCUACCUGGCGACAGGAUGCUAAUCCCAAAAACCUCUCUCAGUUCGGAUCGAAGUCUGCAACCCGACUUCGUGAAGCUGGAUUCGCUAGUAAUCGCGCAUCAGCCAUGGCGCGGUGAAUACGUUCCCGGGCCUUGUACACACCGCCCGUCAAGCCAUGAAAGCCGGGGGUACCUGAAGUACGUAACCGCAAGGAGCGUCCUAGGGUAAAACUGGUAAUUGGGGCUAAG
This 1439-nucleotide ribosomal RNA is filed under the name uncultured organism. RNAcentral's name for it is "16S ribosomal RNA". It matches the Rfam family "Bacterial small subunit ribosomal RNA". The record is from RNAcentral.